This is a long non-coding RNA of Felis catus (domestic cat), 1789 nucleotides long. RefSeq lists it as uncharacterized. Lineage: Eukaryota; Metazoa; Chordata; Mammalia; Carnivora; Felidae. The transcript has 5 exons. The record is from RefSeq and is a predicted model, not a curated record.
UCUGGGGUUUCUAUUCUAUUCCAUUGGUCUAUGUGUCUGUUUUUGUGCCAUACAUAUCACUUCUUUAUCCAUUCAUCAGUUGAUGGACACUUGGGCUCUUUUGAUAAUUUGGCUAUUGUAGAUAAUCCUGCCAUGAACACUGAGGUGCAUGUUUCCCAUUGAAUUAGUAUUUUUGUAUUCUUUGGGUAAAUACAUAGCUUUUUAAAAAAAUCUCAAAGUCACAUUUACUCUAAGACUGAGAUCCAAAUCUUUGGCAAGGAAGAUUUUUUUACCAUUUUUAGGUAGGGAUGCAAUUUUCAUGACAGAUUCGAUAUUGUACUCAAAUCACUCUUUCCCCUCUAAUUCAGAGUACUGUUCUUUUUAUGAUCUUUUGAGUCUCUGGCAGUUUCCUUGAGAUGUAUGCUGUCCUAGGGGACCCCAGCAUCAUCUAUGCAAGUGGACACCUGGCAAGCCCAUUCCUACAGAACUCUGGAUGAGGUCAGACAUGCUUAAGACUCAAAGAGAACACUAAUAAAGCUCCAGGUGGGGCCUCUGGUCCUUCUAGUAUUUCAGGAGCUAAACACUUGAGAUAAAAUCAGAUGCAGGGAACACAACGAGAUUCUGAGAAUGUAAAUGUCCUGAGCCAGAAUGGCAAAAAGGCCACCUGAAAGGAUGAAAUCACAUGAUCUGGAGUGAAGAGAGCAUCUAGAAAAUGGGAGAGCCUCAGCAUCACUGUAGACAAGACUCCAACCUCUAGAGAGGCUUUCUUCAUGUUGACAAAAUGGCUGUCAGCAACUCCCUGCUUCUAUCUUUCCAGGUCUAAGCCCACAGUCAAGAGAAUGAGUCACUUCAGCUCAGAAUUUCCUUUGGAGCAAGUCACUUCAAAGCCACUUGGUAACUAUGGUUACCACUCCUCAGGAUUCCCAUGAACAGGAGGCAACGUGAAGACUAGAUGCCCACAAUCUACUCAGGAUGUACACCCUGAAGAUGUUCCAUCCAAAGAGCCCAGUUCUCCCAGGUAUCAAGUAAAAAUAGCUCCUAUUGAAACCAAGUCCUAAGGACAAAAUCACAGCCAAAGAAAUCUUUUGAAAAAGUUGGCCCCAGAGGAAAGCAUGGGUAGAAAUUACCCCCAUAAGCUACUGGUCUAUAGUUCCUUAGAGCAUAAAAUGAGCAAGUAUUUUUCUAACCCUAAGACUGGCUCUGGAUAAAAUUUUAAAACAAACCCUGCUCACGUUUUUAUUAGUUUUUAUUUUUAUCAAAGUAGCAUGCACAGAAUUCACAAAUCAAAUAACAGAAGCAGUAUAGCUUUGUGGGUAACAGCACAGACUUUGAACUAGGCUGCCUUGUUCAAAUUAUGGUCAAGCCAUUUCUAGCUUUGAUCAUGGGAAAGUUACUUGACUGCUUCAUGCCUCCACAGGUAAAAUAGGAAUAAUAAUUGUACAUAUUUCACGGGGUUUUGUAAGACUUCAUAUAGGCACUAGAUUAUGUCCCCCCAAAAUUCACAUGUUCAAGUCCUAACUCUCAGUACCUCAGUACAGAAUGUGACUGUAUUUGGAGACAGCAUUUUUAAAAAGGGUAAUUAAGGUAAAAUUAGGUCAAAUGGGUGAGCCUGAAUCUAAUAUGACUGGUGUCUUUAUAAGAAGAGAUUAGGACACACACAUAGAGGGAGGGCCAUGUGAAGACCAGAAGGCCUGAAGGAGAUGGCUAUCUACAAGCCAAGGAGAAAGACCCUCCGAAGAAUCCAACCUUGCCAAGCCCUUGAUCUUGGACUUCUGGCCUCCAUAACUGUGAAAAAAUACAUUUAUGUUGU